This 237-nucleotide ribosomal RNA is filed under the name Triticum aestivum (bread wheat). RNAcentral describes it as "partial small subunit ribosomal RNA". The record is from RNAcentral. Lineage: Eukaryota; Viridiplantae; Streptophyta; Magnoliopsida; Poales; Poaceae.
AUGGCAAUUGUGCAUACAUACGGGAAGCCUAACAUCUUCUUGACCAUGACUUGCAAUCCUAAAUGGGAAGAGAUAUCGAAUGAGUUGCUGCCUGGUCAGACGGCGCAAGACCGACCUGAUAUUGUGGCUCGCGUGUUCCGGCAAAUAGAGGCUAUGAAAGACAUUUUGUUCAAGAAGCAUAUUCUAGGUGUUGUUGUUGCUUAUGUUUACGUAGUCGAGUUCCAAAAAAGGGGCCUU